Long non-coding RNA from Panicum virgatum (switchgrass), 662 nucleotides. RefSeq lists it as uncharacterized. The record is from RefSeq and is a predicted model, not a curated record. The transcript has 2 exons. Lineage: Eukaryota; Viridiplantae; Streptophyta; Magnoliopsida; Poales; Poaceae.
UUAAUCCCGGGUACGCUCGCAAACUGUUCCAACCUGCGAAGGCUAAACCUUGCCGGGAAUCUUCUAGCUGGCGAGGUUCCUCGAGAGCUGGGUCUCCUCGCCAACCUAGUGCUUAGGGCAUAUACAACGCCCAUAAAUGAGUCGUCUUUACCUGGUUAAUUACGAUUAUCGAGGCUCUUAACUCCGGUUUUUUCCGCAACGACCCCGUGCCGUCGUCUCGCGAGACGACGGCAGCGGCCCGUGUCCCGAGCCAAUGCAGACGGCUCGCUCCGCGUUGUAGGCAGCCGAUGUGAGAAGGCGACGGCAGCUUCGAUCCCAUGCUCCGGCCGCGAAACAAAGGUUGAGGCAAGGAUAAAGAAAGCGGAGACCGGCGGCAUCUCUGUCCCUCUCGCACACCACUCUGUUUCACAGGCUCAGCACUGUCGCGCUGCGCACACCCUGCUAGCUCUGUACGCCAGAGCAUCCCAAGGCACAGCACUGGGAGAGGAGGAGGACGACGGAGAAGCUGGGCCAUGAUCUCUUUUACCAUUCGGCCCUUGCAAUUUAGUAAUACAAUCACCGUAGAAGAUAAUUAUCUCAUAUAAGUCUUUUUUGCAAGCAAAAUGUCAUGGAAUAAAGUAAGACAUUGUAUAACAAUCCUUCUAAUUUACUUGUAUUCUCUC